Molecule: ribosomal RNA, 253 nt
Filed under: uncultured bacterium
Lineage: Bacteria
Description: partial 16S ribosomal RNA
Rfam family: Bacterial small subunit ribosomal RNA
Source: RNAcentral
UACGUAGGGUGCAAGCGUUGUCCGGAAUUAUUGGGCGUAAAGAGCUCGUAGGCGGUUUGUCGCGUCGGCUGUGAAAACUCGGGGCUCAACCCCGAGCCUGCAGUCGAUACGGGCAGACUAGAGUGCUGUAGGGGAGACUGGAAUUCCUGGUGUAGCGGUGAAAUGCGCAGAUAUCUGGAGGAACACCGGUGGCGAAGGCGGCAUCCUGGACCGGUAUUGACGCUGAUGCGCGAAAGCCAGGGGAGCAAACGGG